RNAcentral lists this ribosomal RNA (1222 nucleotides) under Nuclearia sp. B1. RNAcentral's name for it is "SSU rRNA". It matches the Rfam family "Eukaryotic small subunit ribosomal RNA", at positions 660 to 1828 of the family's 1831-position model. Lineage: Eukaryota; Rotosphaerida; Nucleariidae. The record is from RNAcentral.
CCCCAUCCUCCUACUGGCUGGGCUUGCCUCUCUCUACCUCCUUCUAAAGACCCAGGGUGCUCUUCACCGGGCGUCCUGGGGAUUUAGGACUUUUACUUUGAAAAAAUUAGAGUGUUCAAAGCAGGCUCAUCUUCGCUUGAAUACAUUAGCAUGGAAUAAUGAAAUAGGACUUUGGUUCUAUUUUGUUGGCUUCUAGGACCGAAGUAAUGAUUAAUAGGGAUAGUUGGGGUGGUUAGUAUUUAAUUGUCAGAGGUGAAAUUCUUGGAUUUAUGAAAGACUAACUUCUGCGAAAGCAUUCCACAAGGAUGUUUUCAUUAAUCAAGAACGAAAGUUAGGGGAUCGAAGAUGAUCAGAUACCGUCGUAGUCUUAACCAUAAACUAUGCCGACUAGGGAUCGGUGGAUGUUAUUUUUCAUGACUCCAUCGGCACCUUACUGAGAAAUCACAAGUCUUUGGGUUCCGGGGGGAGUAUGGUCGCAAGGCUGAAACUUAAAGGAAUUGACGGAAGGGCACCACCAGGAGUGGAGCCUGCGGCUUAAUUUGACUCAACACGGGGAAACUCACCAGGUCCAGACAUGGGAAGGAUUGACAGAUUGAGAGCUCUUUCUUGAUUCUAUGGGUGGUGGUGCAUGGCCGUUCUUAGUUGGUGGAGUGAUCUGUCUGGUUAAUUCCGAUAACGAACGAGACCUUAACCUGCUAAAUAGUUACGCGAACUCAGCCCUGGGGAAGGGGUGGGGGGUUUCGGCCUCCCUCCUCGCUUCCCAGGGCGGUUCUGCGGUUUUCAACAACUUCUUAGAGGGACUGUCGGUGUUUAACCGACGGAAGUUUGAGGCAAUAACAGGUCUGUGAUGCCCUUAGAUGUCCUGGGCUGCACGCGCGCUACACUGAUGAAGUCAGCGAGUUUUAUCACACCUUGUUCGGAAGGACAUUUUUCUGGGUAAUCUUCUGAAACUUCAUCGUGCUGGGGAUAGAUCAUUGCAAUUAUUGAUCUUCAACGAGGAAUUCCUAGUAAGCGCGAGUCAUCAGCUCGCGUUGAUUACGUCCCUGCCCUUUGUACACACCGCCCGUCGCUACUACCGAUUGAAUGGUUUAGUGAGAUCUUUGGACCGGCGCAACGCAGCUGUCUGACAGCAGCGAUGCACUGGGAAGCUGAUCAAACUUGAUCAUUUAGAGGAAGUAAAAGUCGUAACAAGGUUUCCGUAGGUGAACCUGCGGAAGGAUCA